Non-coding RNA from Candidatus Hodgkinia cicadicola, 71 nucleotides. The record is from Rfam. NCBI's taxonomy places the organism in Bacteria, Pseudomonadati, Pseudomonadota, Alphaproteobacteria, Hyphomicrobiales.
GCGGUUGUAACUUAACGGUAAAGUGCAAGAAUGUGGAUCUUGAAAAGGCGAUUCGAGUUCGCCCGACCGUA